RNAcentral lists this ribosomal RNA (482 nucleotides) under uncultured bacterium. RNAcentral describes it as "partial 16S ribosomal RNA". It matches the Rfam family "Bacterial small subunit ribosomal RNA", at positions 30 to 507 of the family's 1533-position model. The record is from RNAcentral.
AUUGAACGCUGGCGGCAUGCUUUACACAUGCAAGUCGAACGGUAGCGCGGGGUAAUCUGGCGGCGAGUGGCGAACGGGUGAGUAAUAUAUCGGAACGUACCCAGAAGUGGGGGAUAACGUAGCGAAAGUUACGCUAAUACCUCAUACGAUCUACGGACGAUAGAAGGGGACCGCAAGGCUUUAUGCUUCUGGUGCGGCCGAUAUCUGAUUAGCUAGUUGGUGAGGUAAAGGCUGACCAAGGCGACGAUCAGUAGCUGGUCUGAGAGGACGACCAGCCACACUGGAACUGAGACACGGUCCAGACUCCUACGGGAGGCAGCAGUGGGGAAUUUUGGACAAUGGGCGCAAGCCUGAUCCAGCAAUGCCGCGUGAGUGAGGAAGGCCUUCGGGUUGUAAAGCUCUUUUGUCAGGGAAGAAGCGGUAGAGGCUAAUAUCCUUUGCUAAUGACGGUACCUGAAGAAUAAGCACCGGCUAACUACGUG